CAGAGGUAAAAAAUAUAAAGGAAAGAAGGGAGGAUCAAAGUGGCGCGGGUAAACUAGCGAAAGACUCUUUUUAUUUUUGGGUCCAACACCGGCGCGGCUCUGCUUCAAUAAAACGGCCGGGAGAAAGCAAAAACAUGAAGAAAGGAGGAGGCUUAAACGCUAAUUUCAAGCUCAAGCUUGCUGUUCCUGCUUCUGAUGAAGUCUCCUUUGCUACCUUCCUAACGAGAAGCGGUACGUUUAUGGACGGAGAUCUGCUCGUUAACAGAGACGGAGUUCGAAUUGUCUCUCAAAGUCGAAGUGAAGCUCCACCACCUAUUAAAGCAUCUGACAACCAGUUAAAUUUGGAAGAUAUAGACUAUAUUAAAGUCGUUGGAAAGGGAAAUGGUGGAAUUGUGCAAUUGGUGCAACACAAAUGGACUGGCCAGUUUUUUGCAUUAAAGGUUAUUCAAAUGAAUAUUGAGGAGUCCGCACGGAAACAGAUUGCACAGGAAUUGAAAAUUAAUCAAUCUUCACAGUGUCCAUAUGUUGUGGUGUGUUACCAAUCUUUCUACAUUAAUGGUGCCAUUUCAAUCAUUUUGGAGUAUAUGGAUGGUGGAUCUUUAGCGGAUUUUCUGAAAAGUGUUAAAUCGAUCCCAGAACCGUAUUUAGCUGCCAUCUGUAAGCAGGUGCUUAGGGGUUUGUUGUAUCUUCAUCAUGAAAAACACAUCAUCCACAGGGAUUUAAAGCCUUCUAAUUUGUUGAUAAACCAUAGAGGGGAAGUCAAGAUUACUGAUUUUGGUGUGAGUGCAAUAAUGGCAAGCACCUCCGGACAGGCAAAUACUUUUGUUGGCACAUACAACUAUAUGUCUCCUGAGAGGAUUAGUGGGGGCAGAUAUGGGUAUAAAAGUGACAUUUGGAGCUUGGGAUUAGUAUUGCUUGAGUGUGCAACUGGUCAGUUCCCAUACUCCCCACAAGAGCAAGAGGAAGGAUGGACUAGUUUUUACGAGCUUAUGGAAGCAAUUGUUGACCAACCACCACCUUGUGCACCUUCUGAUCAGUUUUCUUCAGAGUUUUGCUCAUUUAUUUCUGCAUGUGUACAAAAAGAACCAAGAGACAGACCGUCAGCACAGGAACUUUUGGUAUGUAAAUCCUGUCUUCCUUUGUCCCUUUACUGUCUUGAGUACACAACUUUUAUGUGGAAUAUGUGCUGAACUGAUGUUUUUAAAUUUUAUUCUGCUUUUCUUUUUUCUCUUAAUGUGAAACCCAGGAACAUCCUUUCAUGAGCAUGUAUGAUGACUUGAAUGUAGAUCUGUCCGCUUACUUCACCAAUGCAGGAUCUCCACUUGCAACCCUUUGAAACUUGAGUGGAUUUAAUUGUUGAAGGAGUUCACAUUUCGCAAACUAGCUUGAGACCCAAACGUGUGGGGAAUUUAGUAACAGAGAUUUUAGAAACCUGGUGAAAGAAUCCUAGAUGUCUUUGCGGUUGAAUUCUAAUAAUAGUCUGUACCUCAGAGAACCUUAGUACCAGAAGCCUUGAAGCAAAGUUUCAGCUAACCAGGAUAACCAGGUUUUAUGAUUGCAUUGUUUGCCAUGAUGUCAACUACUAUAAUUAAUUGUAUGAACUCAGAUAGAGAUGUACCGUUUUAUAAAAUGAACUAAAUUUUAUUUGUUUA
Pistacia vera is the source of this 1652-nucleotide RNA transcript. It is a transcript of the gene named mitogen-activated protein kinase kinase 2, with no coding region annotated. The record is from RefSeq and is a predicted model, not a curated record. Lineage: Eukaryota; Viridiplantae; Streptophyta; Magnoliopsida; Sapindales; Anacardiaceae. The transcript is spliced from 9 exons.